AUUGAACGCUGGCGGCAUGCUUUACACAUGCAAGUCGAACGGCAGCGCGGGCUUCGGCCUGGCGGCGAGUGGCGAACGGGUGAGUAAUGCAUCGGAACGUGCCCAGUAGUGGGGGAUAGCCCGUCGAAAGCCGGAUUAAUACCGCAUACGACCUGAGGGUGAAAGCGGGGGACCGAAAGGCCUCGCGCGAUUGGAGCGGCCGAGGUCGGAUUAGCUAGUUGGUGGGGUAAAGGCUUACCAAGGCGACGAUCCGUGGCUGGUCUGAGAGGACGACCAGCCACACUGGGACUGAGACACGGCCCAGACUCCUACGGGAGGCAGCAGUGGGGAAUUUUGGACAAAGGGGGCAACCCUGAUCCAGCCAUGCCGCGUGCGGGAAGAAGGCCUUCGGGUUGUAAACCGCUUUUGUUCGGGAAGAAAUCCUCUGGGCUAAUACCCCGGGGGGAUGACGGUACCGGAAGAAUAAGCACCGGCUAACUACGUG
RNAcentral lists this ribosomal RNA (484 nucleotides) under uncultured bacterium. RNAcentral describes it as "partial 16S ribosomal RNA". It matches the Rfam family "Bacterial small subunit ribosomal RNA", at positions 28 to 507 of the family's 1533-position model. The record is from RNAcentral.